AGUGCUCGAGAAGCCUUAGGGAAGUCUCGUAUUCCUGCUGGCAGACUGAAGAGAGGAGGACCUUAAACACUUCCUCUGUCAAAGCAAGCAGUGAGGAAGAGAAGAAAUAUCAAGCUAUAUUGUGCUGUAGGAAUUCUUCCAGGUCUACAGUACAGAAACGAUGCCACUUCCAAUGAUGACAACCAGAGAGAGAGGACUUCCUCUGAGAAUCCCUUUGAUAUACAGAAACCUAUCCAUCAGUCUUUCAAUGUUCAGGAUCAUUAUUCAAGUAGCUAUUCCAGAUUUUGCUGGAUACGUCAGAACUCCUCCUGCAACCUAGGUGAACAGUGGGACUUCUUCCUAUUUACAGAAAUGGAAAAAUGGAUUAUUAUUAUUAUGACAACAUGAAAAGUACAUUGUUACUAUGACAAUAAAACGGAGAGCAAAUGUCGAGAUUCACAUUCA
Long non-coding RNA from Tachyglossus aculeatus (Australian echidna), 444 nucleotides. RefSeq lists it as uncharacterized. The transcript has 3 exons. Lineage: Eukaryota; Metazoa; Chordata; Mammalia; Monotremata; Tachyglossidae. The record is from RefSeq and is a predicted model, not a curated record.